GAUGAACGCUGGCGGCGUGCUUAAUACAUGCAAGUCGAGCGGACAGACCCUGAUCUUGUGCGGUGCUCGAGUGCCGCACGCGGGAGUAUCACGCGUGUAUCCUCCACUUGUCUUUCUGAUAUCUCCACGAGACACCGGCUCAUAUCGGAUAGGAGCUCUUGCUGCACGGUGGGCAUUGGAUAGUUUCGGCGGUGUGGGCUGGACUCGCGGCUUAUGCGCCAGUUGGUGAGGUAGUUGUUUACCAAGGCUUUGAAGGGUAGCCGGCCUGGGAGGGUGACCGGCGACAUGGCGACUGAGGGACGGCCCAGACGGCUACGGGAGGCAGCGGGGGGGAAUAUUGCACAACAGGCGGAAGCCUGAUGCAGCAGCGCCGCGUGCGUGAUAACCUCCUUCGAGGUGUAAACCGCUGUCGCCGGAGACGAAGCCUUAUUGACGGUAAUUGGUAAAGAAGCACCGGCUAACUACGUG
RNAcentral lists this ribosomal RNA (468 nucleotides) under uncultured bacterium. Its description in RNAcentral is "partial 16S ribosomal RNA". It matches the Rfam family "Bacterial small subunit ribosomal RNA", at positions 28 to 507 of the family's 1533-position model. The record is from RNAcentral.